This 433-nucleotide ribosomal RNA is filed under the name uncultured bacterium. Its description in RNAcentral is "partial 16S ribosomal RNA". It matches the Rfam family "Bacterial small subunit ribosomal RNA", at positions 29 to 507 of the family's 1533-position model. The record is from RNAcentral.
AACGAACGCUGGCGGCAGGCCUAACACAUGCAAGUCGAGCGAGGACUUCGGUCCUAGCGGCGGACGGGUGAGUAACGCGUGGGAACGUGCCCUUUGCUUCGGAAUAGCCCUGGGAAACUGGGAGUAAUACCGGAUGAGCCCUUUGGGGGAAAGAUUUAUCGGCGAAGGAUCGGCCCGCGUUGGAUUAGGUAGUUGGUGGGGUAAUGGCCUACCAAGCCGACGAUCCAUAGCUGGUUUGAGAGGAUGAUCAGCCACACUGGGACUGAGACACGGCCCAGACUCCUACGGGAAGCAGCAGUGGGGAAUCUUAGACAAUAGGGGAAACCCUGAUCUAGCCAUGCCGCGUGAGCGAUGAAGGCCUUAGGGUUGUAAAGCUCUUUCAGCUGGGAAGAUAAUGACGGUACCAGCAGAAGAAGCCCCGGCUAACUCCGUG